CUGGGAGGUGGGGUUUCCUUGGAAGGGAUGGGGUUUCCUUGGAGGGGACGGUCCUCUCUCUCCAUAAAAGCAGGUUCCUCCCUUUCCAUAGAAGCAGCUUCCCCCCUUUCCAGAGAUUCAGGUUCCACCUUUCCAUAGAAGCAGGGUCCCCCCUUUCCAUAGAAGCAGCUUCCCCACUUUCCAGAGAAGCAGGUUCCCCCCUUUCCAGAGAAGCAGGGUCCUCCCUUUCCAGAGAAGCAGGUUCCCCCCUUUCCAGAGAAGCAGGGUCCCCACUUUCCGUAGAAGCAGGAUCCCCCCUUUCCAGAGAAGCAGGGUCCCCCCUUUCCAUGGAAGCAAGUUCCCCUUUUGAACAGAGACAGGUAACAGGCAGCCAAGGAGGUUCCUCUUGGCUCCUGCUGUCGGGACCUGCAGGCUGGCUCUCUAGGGUCAGCAGGGGAUUCCCCCCUGCCGCCUAUGCUGCCCCCCUCCCCCUGCCCUGACCUCUGCUCUGGGCCUCAGGUCCUGCUAACUGCAGACUGCAGCCCAGGGCCCUCCCUGCCUGUCACUGUGGGGUCCUGAUCCCCUGGCAGCCUAGGGCCCCAACGGCACAUGCUUGGGGACUGGAGACGAAUACUUCCUGAGAUCACCCCGAAGGCCGUCCUCGCUGGCUCCUGCUGCAGUUUCUCUUUCUCUUUCAGCCAGCGAGGCAGCAGGAAGCCCAAGUGCUGAAGCUCAUCCUGCUGGCAGGGGGCAGGGGACAGCAGCCAGGGAAUGAGGGGUCCUAAGGAGAGACAUGGAGCCUCUGCGAGGCUGGGGGCCGCCACCCUGGAGCCCGGCACCCAAGGCUGACGCCCUGAGCCUGGUAGUUUCCAGAGGUCUCCAGAGGUCCAGACGGCCACCCAGGGGAUGAAGCAUGAGGGAAGCCUCCCAGAGUGAAACCCGCUUUCCCAGCGGCUGGAGCGGCCCCUCUGGCUGUGCUGGGCACUCCGCAGAGGCCAGCCAAGGGAGCAGACCUGGACUCGACCUGGGUGAAGUCCAGUCAACUAAGUACUGGUCCCGGGUGAUCAGGCCUCCCUGAGUCUUUCUCCAGCUGUCCACUUCCACAACUGGGGCAGGCGCAGAGCACAACUCUGGAGCAUCCGAAGAAGCCGAGGGGGUCUCAGCGGGAACAACCCACAGGUCCCAUCUGGGUCGCCAACUGUGUAACCAAAAGUUCAGUCUCUGAACCCGAUGCCAAUCCAAAUAACGAGGACAGAGUCUUGAGGGGAAAGGAAAGAGCGUUUACUUUCUUUGCCCAGCAGGGGGAGCACAGCAAGGGCUGGUGCCUCAAGCACUGCUAGCUCCCCAUUAAGAAACGCGUAGGGGUUUUUAUUUGGGGUUUUAGGUAGGGGAGGGGAGCUGUGACCUUCUUGGUCAGCAUUUUCCCAUCGGCCCACGUUUGGGACAGCUUCCAAGGGCGGGGAGACAAAGGAUUCCACAGAUGGACGUCCCUGGCUGUUUAUCUCCAUGGUGGAUGGUGGACUCUGGGAAGCUUCUGUUUCUUGACGUUCUCUGGGCACUAAUUUCUCUGUGAAAGAACUUCAAGGUCCUGGGAUCAGCCACAGCUUUAGUGCGAGCCCAGCUUGAGCCCAUCUGGGCUUUAACAAUGUGUAACUUCUAUUUGGUUGUGAAGCUCAGGGAGUCAGAGGGUAAAGAAACACAUUUACGUAUGAGCGUAACUAAGGACCCAGGGAACUGGGAACGUAUGCUUGUAGUUUUAACCCAUAUAUGCUGGGCUCCCUGUAGGGGAACCCAUAUCAGGGCUGAUAUUACCUAAGAGCCAGUAAGACAAUGACCAACCAGUCACAAUUACCACUCCAGUCCCAUGGCUCCAUAAGGCAGCAAUUCCUAAGCCCACCUCAGUAAAAAACCCAGCAUCUCCAGUGUCAUAAAAUACUCAACCCCUAUCCCAUUAGACUUAAACACAAUUUCUCCCUCAUCAGUUUUCAAAAUAAAUAAAACCGCCAUAACCUCCAUCAAUAACCCCAAGGGGAAUAUCCCUGGGACAGUUAAAUCAGAAACUCAAGCCUCAGGACACUGCCCAGGAGCCGGAGCCCUUGGAUAACCAAAACCCACAUCCCCUCCAAACGGGGUGUGUGGAUAGGACACUCAGAUUCAUUAAAAAAGAUGUAAUGAAGGAAAGGGUUCUGAAAGGAGUUAGUUGUGUAUAAGUCUGGUGUGCAGGGGCCGUGGGAUUCUCCUAGAGAUAGAAUUGUUGUGAGGAUGUCUGGCAUCAUGCUCUUGGCAUGUUCUGCCGGGAAGAAGCAGGCAAGUGGACUCGCUGUGUAUUCAACAUUGAAGCCAGAGACGCGUUCGACUCUCCCUGUGUUCAAUCAAUGGAACUCGCUUGGUUCCAUUGCCAGGGUUGAAAUGAAUCAUCCUGUGCCUAGUAGUCAAGAUGAAAAAUUAGUCAUAAGUAUUCUUGGGUAAAAAUUAAUGUUGAAAGUGAAAACGAUGGUACGUUAGCAGGACGGACAGUAGAAUAAUUGCUCACGUUACUUCCCACAAAACUGUUGGUGCUGCUGCUCGUAGGGGUCUAAUUAGUGCACGUGUUGAAUUUGAAGCUGAGGCUGAUCAGAGAAUGGAAUAAACAGCUAGGCCUGACAGGGUUCGUGCAAACAGUAGGCCUAGGCUUCUGUUAAUCAGUGGGCGUGGUGUGGGUCGUGGAAUUCAUCUUGUUGGGGCCAGAGGGAGGGGCGGGAUUGGUGCAACGAGAAAUUGGGAUGUUGACGGUGUUGGUGGUGUGGCAGUUCUUUAAUGAAUAGUCUGACGGCACCAGCGAUGGGCUGCAGCAGGCCACGGGGGCCGACCGUGUUGGUCCUUUGAGGAGUCCUAUGCAGCCUAACGCUUCUCACUGGACCAUCGUGAGGAGAGCAGUGGCGAGCGGGAUGGGGGUGAUGAGUCGGAGAACGCUGAUUACAAGCGCGUUGUCAGGAAGAGGAAUCGAACCUCUGGCAAUAAAGCUUUAAAUUUUACAAGAUGCCCAGCUCUGGCAUCCUGACAUACCCCGUUCCUGGGCAGGGCUGGGUCUAAAUUAAUUAGAUUAAGAUUAUAUCAUCCAUUAGUUUGAAGGUGCUUUUGAAAAGUGGGCCUAUUUCUCUCGUCCUUUCGUACGGGGAGAAAUGUGGAAUCAAUAGAAACCAAUUGGAUUAUUGCUGAUGAACUCAGAUCUCAGAGCACCUUAAUCAUUGAACAAACGACCUGUGAACAG
RNAcentral lists this long non-coding RNA (3229 nucleotides) under Equus caballus (horse). RNAcentral describes it as "lncRNA (ENSECAG00000059651.1)". Lineage: Eukaryota; Metazoa; Chordata; Mammalia; Perissodactyla; Equidae. The record is from RNAcentral.